AUACGAAAGGUGCAAGCGUUGUUCGGAUUUACUGGGCGUAAAGAGAGUGUAGGUUGUUUAUUAAGUCGGAUGUGAAAUCCCGGGGCUCAACCUCGGAACUGCAUUCGAUACUGAUAGGCUAGAGUUUGGGAGGGGUAAGCGGAAUUCCGUGUGUAGCAGUGAAAUGCGUAGAUAUACGGAGGAACACCUGAGGCGAAGGCGGCUUACUGGACCAAUACUGACACUGAGACUCGAAAGCGUGGGUAGCAAACAGGAGUAGAAACCCGGGUAGUCC
RNAcentral lists this ribosomal RNA (274 nucleotides) under uncultured bacterium. RNAcentral describes it as "partial 16S ribosomal RNA". It matches the Rfam family "Bacterial small subunit ribosomal RNA", at positions 523 to 796 of the family's 1533-position model. The record is from RNAcentral.